UGGCCGGUACAAAGGGCUGCGAUGCCGCAAGGUUAAGCGAAUCCUUUUAAAGCCGGUCUCAGUUCGGAUUGGGGUCUGCAACUCGACCCCAUGAAGUCGGAGUCGCUAGUAAUCGCAGAUCAGCAACGCUGCGGUGAAUACGUUCCCGGGCCUUGUACACACCGCCCGUCACGUCAUGAAAGUCGGUAACACCCGAAGCCAGUGGCCUAACCCUUGGGAGGGAGCUGUCGAAGGUGGGAUCGGCGAUUGGGACUAAGUCGUAACAAGGUAGCCGUACCGGAAGGUGCG
Molecule: ribosomal RNA, 288 nt
Filed under: Mycobacterium intracellulare
Lineage: Bacteria; Bacillati; Actinomycetota; Actinomycetes; Mycobacteriales; Mycobacteriaceae
Description: partial 16S ribosomal RNA
Rfam family: Bacterial small subunit ribosomal RNA
Source: RNAcentral